GAUCCCUAGCUGGUCUGAGAGGAUGACCAGCCACACUGGAACUGAGACACGGUCCAGACUCCUACGGGAGGCAGCAGUGGGGAAUAUUGCACAAUGGGCGCAAGCCUGAUGCAGCCAUGCCGCGUGUAUGAAGAAGGCCUUCGGGUUGUAAAGUACUUUCAGCGGGGAGGAAGGUGCUGUGGUUAAUAACCGCAGCAAUUGACGUUACCCGCAGAAGAAGCACCGGCUAACUCCGUGCCAGCAGCCGCGGUAAUACGGAGGGUGCAAGCGUUAAUCGGAAUUACUGGGCGUAAAGCGCACGCAGGCGGUCUGUCAAGUCGGAUGUGAAAUCCCCGGGCUCAACCUGGGAACUG
RNAcentral lists this ribosomal RNA (353 nucleotides) under Salmonella enterica subsp. enterica serovar Montevideo str. CFSAN004346. Its description in RNAcentral is "bacterial SSU rRNA". It matches the Rfam family "Bacterial small subunit ribosomal RNA", at positions 278 to 623 of the family's 1533-position model. The record is from RNAcentral. Lineage: Bacteria; Pseudomonadati; Pseudomonadota; Gammaproteobacteria; Enterobacterales; Enterobacteriaceae.